UCUUAUUGAUUAUAAUUUUAAGUCUAAUCUGCCCAAUGAUAUUUUAUUUAAUGGCUGCAGUAUUUAUAACUGUACAAAGGUAGCAUAAUAAUUAGUUUUUUAAUUGAAAACUAGAAUGAAAGAUUAAAUGAAAUAUAUACUAUAUAAAUAAAAUUAAAAAUUAAAAUUAAAAUUUAAGUAAAAAUUCUUAAAUUAUUUUAAAAGACGAGAAGACCCUAUAGAAUUUUAUUUUUUGUUAUUUUAAAAUUUAAUAAUAAAUUUAAAUAAAUAAUAAAAAAUUUAAUUGGGGUAAUUUUAAAAUUAAAUUAAUUUUUAUUUAAAAAACAUAAAUUAAUGAAUUUUUAAUCUUAAAAUUUAGAUUAAAAAAAUAAAUUACC
RNAcentral lists this ribosomal RNA (377 nucleotides) under Praon volucre. RNAcentral's name for it is "partial 16S ribosomal RNA". Lineage: Eukaryota; Metazoa; Arthropoda; Insecta; Hymenoptera; Braconidae. The record is from RNAcentral.